AAAGCCAAAGAAAAGGAAACUAGUGGGCAAAGGAAGCAUGCCAACGAUAAUCAUGAGAAGAUAAGAUAAUAGCGUAAUCAGAAAGGUCCACGUUGAAAUUAAAGUAUAAAAGAAAUAAAGCUUGUGUGCAUGAUAAGACAUUGAAUAGAACUGUUUAGCAAUUCAGAGCCUUGAAACACAUGAUGUCGCCAAAGAUUUAUAUUUUCUUAUGUUCUAUUGUAGCUUUAUUCCUUUUACAUUCAAGUUCGUCUUUAAGCGAGGAAACUGACGGUGAUUCUUUAUCGGAAGAAGUGGAGAGUUCGCACAUUCAGCCUUGGAAGCGUUUUCCAUGUAUAGUUGGCGCACGUUGGCGUGUACGAAGAUGCCGAACUGGCCGAAGAUUCUUUCACAAACAGGACCAGCAAGUUCAGUUCACUGAGGAACCAGCGAUGGGACAAGAAACGACUACAAAUUGAUUCAAAAGAACAGAAACUUGAGCAUGUAGAAGUCCUGGUAACGUUUCGUUGAGAGCGAGACAAACAGUGCUGGAAGCUGCGACCAAGACCUCCCGGAGGACUCAGAAAAAAUAGCUGAAUGACAAGACGGUUUAUAAUUUUAUGACCGUUAAAGGAUUGUUCAUCAAGAUUUAGAUAGCAUGUCAUUGCUUGUAAAGAAAAAUGAAACAAGGAAAUAAAUUAAAAAGUAAAAGAUAAA
This is a long non-coding RNA of Orbicella faveolata, 693 nucleotides long. RefSeq lists it as uncharacterized. NCBI's taxonomy places the organism in Eukaryota, Metazoa, Cnidaria, Anthozoa, Scleractinia, Merulinidae. The record is from RefSeq and is a predicted model, not a curated record.